RNAcentral lists this unclassified non-coding RNA (217 nucleotides) under Hevea brasiliensis (rubber tree). The record is from RNAcentral. Lineage: Eukaryota; Viridiplantae; Streptophyta; Magnoliopsida; Malpighiales; Euphorbiaceae.
GCCUAAUCUUUAUGGUGACAUUAUCAGUGACCUCUGUGCUGGUUUGAUUGGGGGAUUGGGUUUAACUCCCAGCUGCAAUAUCGGUGAAGGUGGUAUUGCUCUUGCAGAGGCUGUCCAUGGUUCAGCUCCUGAUAUUGCUGGCAAGAACCUUGCAAAUCCUACAGCUCUUCUAUUGAGUUCUGUUAUGAUGUUGCGGCACUUGAAUCUCAAUGAUAAA